GAUGUUUGUUUAUUGACUUGUACACGAGCUGUCAAAGUGUUAAUUGUUUAGUUCGGGAAGUUACGAUUGUGAGUGCAAGAAGAAUCCUGCCAUAAAUACAGUAAAACACGAGUCCGUCAAUAUUUCGCGCAACGUGAGAGGAAGGCUGAUGAAGUGUACUUGCCUUGGAAGAUGUUGCCCGGUAUUGGAGUAUUUGGAACGGGUAACGUUGUGCGAGUUAUUGUUCCAUUUUUGAGAGAAAAGGGCUUCAAGAUAGAAGCAAUAUGGGGUCGAACACUCACUGCUGCUGAAGAAGUAUCUAAGGAACUUGAGAUACCGUUUUACACUAACAAAAUCGAUGAUGUGCUGCUGCGAAAGGACGUUGAUCUUAUAUUUAUUAUGUGUUCACCAAACCUUCAUGCACAGAUUGCUGUUAAAGCUCUGGGCAUUGGGAAACAUGUGCUAUGUGACAAACCAACCGGGCUAUGUCAAAGCGAAGCAUUGAAGAUGGUACGAGCAGCACAGUAUUAUCCGUCGCUUAUUUCCAUUGUUAACCACAGCUUAAGAUUUCUUCCCGCAUUUUCCCAGAUGAAGAGAGCUAUUGCUGAUGGGUACUUAGGCAGUGAGAAUGAAAUAACCGUCUGCGACGUACGUGUGCAGAUGGGAAGCCUUCUUCACGAUGGUUAUGAUUGGUUAUGUGAUGAUACAAUGGGUGGAGGUAUAUUAACUCUUGUGGGUAGCCACGUAAUUGACCUUGUGUCACAUCUGACUGGUCAGAGGGCUUCACGUGUCCAUGGCCUUGUUCGAACUUUCACGAAGAACACACAUUAUGUGCGUGGCAUAAGGCAGAUUUCAAGUCCAGACUUCUGUGCCUUUCAGAUGGAGAUGAGUGGUGGCACACUUGUGACUGCAACACUUAACAAUCAUCUUCCAGGAACGUUUAGCCAGGAAGUUUUAGUUUGUGGGCGUGAAGGACAUUUAAUGGUGCGUGGUGGAGACUUGUAUGGGUACAAAUCUGGUGCAGCUAAGGAAGAAGUCAUAUAUUUGGACGUGGAAGAUUUGCAGCGUGGAGGAUCUAUUAAUGCUGCUGCAAUAAGUGUGAUUCCACGCCCAUACAUGAAAGGAUUAUUUAAGAUGAUUAGUGCUCUUAGAGAAGCAUUUCUGCCUGUUGAAGACAAGAGUGGAUGGGUGAAGGAACCCGUUGCACUGGCAGCAACAUUUGAAGAUGGUUUGUAUGUGCAAGCGGUCAUAGAUGCGCUACGGAAAUCUAGCGCAAACCGUGAAUGGGUAAAGGUGAAUGUUAUUACAGAGGAACCAGAUCCAAACCCACUAUUGAGUGCUGCUGUGCGGCGUAGUGCCAUAUCCAUGUGACAUACAGAUAACCUGCUGUAAAAUAACUUCAGUACUAAUGUCUGCUUAGCUAACAGGUUGUGCUAUCCUUUGUUCAGUCAGUAUUAGAUGAGAUGUGUACACUUGAUGGAGUAUUGUGAUAGGUUACAGUGCCAAACAUUUCUUGAGAAGUACAAAAAAGAACAUUUUGCUGAGUUAUUACUGAAUUUGAUUUCACUAUUUUUUCUCACCCUGUAUUGUAUUCUGUGCUUCUAAACAUAGUUGAAGUUGAAAGAAAUUUAUAUGAUUUUCUGCCUGUGAUGAGAAUGACUGGCAUUUGUGUAAGGAUGUUGUCUAUAAUGAUGAACAUUUGGACAGGGUUGUGAAAAAUACCUUUGUUAAUAAACAUAGCGAAAAUAAAUGCAAGAAAAUACUUUUCUUUGUGUAUUGAACACCUGAGCACUGACAAAUAUUUAAAAUUUGAUAGCAGAGAAGAGCAAUGUUUUCCCUUGGCCUCUGCACACACUAUAAUAAUUUAAGAAGUUGGAUAUUUGAACAGUGCCUUGUAAAAAUGCAUUGUUUCCAUGAUUCUUUGAUUGCCCUUAUAUGUGCUUAGCUGUACCAGAAGUGUUAUACCUACAACAUACAAUAAAAAGUCACAAAAUGCAAGUUGAGCAAAAUUGUACAUAACUUGCGACUGUUUUGGUCAGUUAGAAUAUGCUGUGUUUAGGGAAAAAGCUCUAUGUGCUGACACAUAGUUCAAAAACUUGAAUAUAUUAGUGAUUAAUCUUGGUGUUGUCUCAUUGUCAAUUUUUAGUGUGUAUUAGUCACACUCAG
Molecule: RNA transcript, 2145 nt
Organism: Schistocerca americana (American grasshopper)
Lineage: Eukaryota; Metazoa; Arthropoda; Insecta; Orthoptera; Acrididae
Gene name: glucose-fructose oxidoreductase domain-containing protein 1
Exons: 2
Source: RefSeq, a predicted model, not a curated record